Molecule: non-coding RNA, 83 nt
Organism: Podarcis lilfordi (Lilford's wall lizard)
Lineage: Eukaryota; Metazoa; Chordata; Lepidosauria; Squamata; Lacertidae
Source: the annotation of a GenBank genome assembly
UUUUUUACAGCUCAGUGGUAGAGUAAAUGUUUUGCAUGCACAAGGUCCCAGCUUCAAUCCCUGGCACCCCCAGUUUAAAAAAA